Molecule: ribosomal RNA, 501 nt
Filed under: Merlinius joctus
Lineage: Eukaryota; Metazoa; Nematoda; Chromadorea; Rhabditida; Merliniidae
Description: SSU rRNA
Rfam family: Eukaryotic small subunit ribosomal RNA
Source: RNAcentral
CGCGAAUGGCUCAUUACAACAGCUAUAAUUUACUUGAUCUUGACUUCCUACUUGGAUAACUGUGGUAAUUCUAGAGCUAAUACAUGCACCAAAGCUCCGACCUUACGGGAAGAGCGCAUUUAUUCGAACAAAACCAAGCGGCUUCGGCCGUCCGCAGUUGACUCAGAAUAACUAAGCUGAUCGCAUGGUCUUGAACCGGCGACGUGUCUUUCAAGUAUCUGCCUUAUCAACUUUCGAUGGUAGUGUAUCUGACUACCAUGGUGGUGACGGGUAACGGAGGAUAAGGGUUCGACUCCGGAGAAGGGGCCUGAGAAAUGGCCACUACGUCUAAGGAUGGCAGCAGGCGCGCAAAUUACCCACUCUCAGAAUGAGGAGGUAGUGACGAGAAAUAACGAGACCGUUCUCUACGAGGCCGGUCAUCGGAAUGGGUACAAUUUAAACCCUUUAGCGAGUAUCUAUGAGAGGGCAAGUCUGGUGCCAGCAGCCGCGGUAAUUCCAGCU